UCUUAGUUUGACUUAACGGCCUCAGUGAGAGGCCCCUACCCAACGUUCUUCUUAUCUUGAGACACAUCGCCCCCCUCCACUUUCUUCCUACUGUGAUCGACAUCCUUUAAGCUUUAAUCCGCGAAUCUGUCGGUUCUACCGCACGAUCCCUGUCCUGUACGGACGCGUGAAGCCGCACAGUCCCCCUGCAGAAUUUGGUCGCUAGUGGAAUCAGUGGACAACCAUCGAAUUUUGCCGGGCCCCUACCAGUGGGUGUUACGGUAUAAGAGGUGUCUUCGUCCGAAGCCACUUCCAUAUCGAAGUGAAAGGCAAGUUUGUCCUACACCAAUCCUUUGAUCAUCCACCUGCAACCUCUGAUCUACAAGCUGGCCAAGGCAGGCCCAUCCCCUGCAAAAAUCAAAGCCUGCAAGCCCGUGACUGCAACCUGCAACUCCUUUUUCUCCAUGCCAACUCUUUCUACAGCUCUAUCAUCCAUUACUACAGAGACUUCCCUUGAAAAAAAGAAAAGAAAAGAGGGAUCAGCUUCCCUCCUCCUCGGCUUCCUCUGGAGUCUAGACGCAAUCACCCGCUCUGCAGGAAGCUUAGACUCUGUCUCCAAUCUUUCAAAAUGGGGAAAGAAGGAAGAGGAUACACAAAAGGGAUCUCCUUGGAACAAGAAGGAAUCGGCACGGGCAGAACAAGAACUUCAAGAAGAAGUGCCGAACAAGAAGAAAUCGCGGAAGCUGGGAGCCUGGGACCGUUGGAGACUCGGAGGACUAGCCGAUUAGGGCGCAGUCGGGGACUCGAGGAGAAAGGGGGAAUGCCGGAUAAGAAGAAGAAAGGGAGGGAAAAAAAAAGGAGUCAGGCUCAGGACCAAUGGGCUGGGCUUGGGCCCGACUCUGACCCUGCCUUCAUCCUCGGGCCCGAAUUAGGGCUGGGCUUCGCCCGAGUUUGGGUUGAAUCCGGAAUCGCAGAAUCGGCCCGAUUCCGCGAUUCAGCCCACGAUUCACCUACGAUUCUGCCUUUUCCGACUCACCCGCCUGAAUCAGAAUCGUAGAACCCCCUUGAAUCGUAGAAUCGUACGAUUCUGCGAUUCGAAUCACGAUUAUGAAAACCAUGGUUUGAAUGAUCAGCAUAUAUUCUUUUAGCUUUACUGUUAGUUGGCCAAGUAAGGAAGUCCUUUUCAUAUCGCAUGUUCCCUUGUCAAUCGCGUAUGUAUUUUCAUAAAUACUUUCCACUACUGUUAUAUCUUAGAUCUACAUUUGUACUUGCAGAACAAUAUUAUAUAGUUAAUGCGAGAUCUCCAAUAUUCCCGAUUA
Non-coding RNA from Punica granatum (pomegranate), 1298 nucleotides. The record is from RefSeq and is a predicted model, not a curated record. Lineage: Eukaryota; Viridiplantae; Streptophyta; Magnoliopsida; Myrtales; Lythraceae.